Molecule: transfer RNA, 73 nt
Filed under: Spirochaetales bacterium
Lineage: Bacteria; Pseudomonadati; Spirochaetota; Spirochaetia; Spirochaetales
Description: tRNA-Pro
Rfam family: tRNA
About the family: Transfer RNA (tRNA) molecules are approximately 80 nucleotides in length.
Source: RNAcentral
CGGGAUGUAGCCUAGAGGCUAAGGCGCCUGCUUUGGGAGCAGGAAAUCGGAGGUUCGACUCCUCUCAUCCCGA